This 838-nucleotide long non-coding RNA is filed under the name Monodelphis domestica (gray short-tailed opossum). Its description in RNAcentral is "lncRNA (ENSMODG00000031347.2)". The record is from RNAcentral. Lineage: Eukaryota; Metazoa; Chordata; Mammalia; Didelphimorphia; Didelphidae.
UACAAUCACUAUGAUAGCCUCUACUCUCAAGGAGACUAUAUCCUUUUUUUUUAAACUCUCUCCUUCUUUCUUAGGAUUGAUACUCAGUUCGAGUUCCGAGGCAGAAGAGCAGUAAGAGCUAGGCAAUAGAGUUAAGUGACUUGCCCAAAGUCACACAACGGGGAAGUGUCUAAGGCCAAAUUUGAACCCAGGAUAUCUUGUCUCCAGACCUGGAUCUCUACCCACAGGACCAUUUACCCGCUCCAGCUCAGAUCAUUGGUCUGUGCAGGUUAAAUCAAUCUGGUCAGCAUCUUCCACUGCCAUUAAUGAACUCAGAGCUGGAAAGAACUUCAAGGUCAUCUAGUCCCACCCUUCCCAUUUUCCAUAUAAGGAACUGAGGCUCAGAGAGAUUGAGGAACUUUCUCAAGGUUGGGAAGAUUUCACAAGUUUCAAAGGUCCCUUCACUUUAUUCAGGAACACUUUUGUGAUCCUGAACCUGCAGAAUAAGACUAUUUCUUGCACUUUGUUGUUGAGAUGCUGGUGCCUUUACACAGUAUGCUUCAAUUAACAAUAAGGAAGCUGGAAAAAGAUGAAGGUAUAAGGAAGGAAGACAAAAGCAAGGAUUCCAGUACAACAGAAUGGGAAAAGAUGCAAUCUGAGUUGCAUAUGGUGCCAUGGAUAGAGAACUGGCCUCAGAAUCAUGGAAACCUAUGUUCAAGUCCAGCCUUUGACACCUGAGCAAAUUAUUUGAUCUCUCAGUAUCCAAGAGAACUCUCUAAGUUGCAGAAAAGGGGGCCCAAUCUGCACUGUGAAAGAAAGUUUCCUCUAUCAAUAAAAUCAGAUGUUCAGCCUUAGUUCA